RNAcentral lists this ribosomal RNA (468 nucleotides) under uncultured bacterium. RNAcentral's name for it is "partial 16S ribosomal RNA". It matches the Rfam family "Bacterial small subunit ribosomal RNA", at positions 28 to 507 of the family's 1533-position model. The record is from RNAcentral.
GACGAACGCUGGCGGCGUGCUUAACACAUGCAAGUCGAACGGAGAGGCCCUGCUUUUGUGGGGUGCUCGAGUGGCGAACGGGUGAGUAACACGUGAGUAACCUGCCCUUGACUUUGGGAUAACUUCAGGAAACUGGGGCUAAUACCGGAUAUGAGCUCCUGCUGCAUGGUGGGGGUUGGAAAGUUUCGGCGGUUGGGGAUGGACUCGCGGCUUAUCAGCUUGUUGGUGGGGUAGUGGCUUACCAAGGCUUUGACGGGUAGCCGGCCUGAGAGGGUGACCGGCCACAUUGGGACUGGGGUACGGCCCAGACUCCUACGGGAGGCAGCAGUGGGGAAUAUUGCACAAUGGGCGGAAGCCUGAUGCAGCAACGCCGCGUGCGGGAUGACGGCCUUCGGGUUGUAAACCGCUUUCGCCUGUGACGAAGCGUGAGUGACGGUAAUGGGUAAAGAAGCACCGGCUAACUACGUG